CCUACGGGAGGCAGCAGUGGGGAAUAUUGGACAAUGGGGGGAACCCUGAUCCAGCCAUGCCGCGUGUGUGAAGAAGGCCCUCGGGUUGUAAAGCACUUUCAGUGAGGAAGAACGCCUGGUGGUUAAUACCCAUCAGGAAAGACAUCACUCACAGAAGAGGCCCCGGCUAACUCCGUGCCAGCAGCCGCGGUAAUACGGAGGGUGCGAGCGUUAAUCGGAAUUACUGGGCGUAAAGCGCGCGUAGGUGGCUUGAUAAGCCGGUUGUGAAAGCCCCGGGCUCAACCUGGGAACGGCAUCCGGAACUGUCAAGCUAGAGUGCAGGAGAGGAAGGUAGAAUUCCCGGUGUAGCGGUGAAAUGCGUAGAGAUCGGGAGGAAUACCAGUGGCGAAGGCGGCCUUCUGGACUGACACUGACACUGAGGUGCGAAAGCGUGGGUAGCAAACAGGAUUAGAUACCCCGGUAGUC
This 465-nucleotide ribosomal RNA is filed under the name Vreelandella stevensii. Its description in RNAcentral is "partial 16S ribosomal RNA". It matches the Rfam family "Bacterial small subunit ribosomal RNA", at positions 338 to 795 of the family's 1533-position model. Lineage: Bacteria; Pseudomonadati; Pseudomonadota; Gammaproteobacteria; Oceanospirillales; Halomonadaceae. The record is from RNAcentral.